RNAcentral lists this ribosomal RNA (2284 nucleotides) under activated sludge metagenome. RNAcentral describes it as "bacterial LSU rRNA". It matches the Rfam family "Bacterial large subunit ribosomal RNA", at positions 1 to 2317 of the family's 2925-position model. The record is from RNAcentral.
AAAAGUUACGAAGGGCGUAUGGGGGAUGCCUUGGCUUCCGGGAGCGAAGAAGGACGUGGUAAGCUGCGAAAAUCGCCGGGGAUUAGCAAACAUGAGUUGAUCCGGCGGACUCCGAAUGGGACAACCCACCAGGCUGAAGGCCUGGUACCAUCGCAAGAUGGGGCAGACGCAGGGAACUGAAACAUCUUAGUACCUGCAGGAAAAGAAAGAAAGAUCGAUUCUCUGAGUAGUGGCGAUCGAAAGGAGAAGAGCCUAAACCGCCGUUGUUUUGGCAAGGGCGGGGUUGCAGGACCCUAUUAGUGAUGUUAUAAAAGAAGUGGAAGUUGUCUGGAAAGGCACACCGCAGGGCGUGAAAGUCGCGUACAUGCAAUUGAAUAACAACACAAGGGAAUCCUAAGUAGGGCGGGACACGAGGAAUCCUGUCUGAAUCCACGGGGACCAUCCCGUAAGGCUAAAUAUUACCGGAAGACCGAUAGUGAACCAGUACUGUGAAGGAAAGGUGAAAAGUACCCCGGACAGGGGGGUGAAAAAGAACCUGAAACCGUACGCCUACAAGCGGUCGGAGCGGGCAAGAGUCCGUAACGGCGUGCCUUUUGCAUAAUGAGCCUACGAGUUACUGUUGCUAGCCAGGUUAAGUACUUCAGGUACGGAGCCGAAGCGAAAGCGAGUCUGAACAGGGCGUGCUGAGUUAGCAGUAGUAGACGCGAAACCUAGUGAUCUACCCUUGGCCAGGUUGAAGUAUCCGUAAAAGGAUAUGGAGGACCGAACCAGUAUCCGUUGAAAAGGAUUUGGAUGAGCUGAGGGUAGGGGUGAAAGGCUAAUCAAACUGGGAGAUAGCUCGUACUCCCCGAAAUGUCUUUUGGGACAGCCUCAAGCUACAGAGUUUACCGGAGGUAGAGCUACUGAUAGGAUGCGAGGGCUUCACCGCCUAUCAAAUCCUGACAAACUCCGAAUGCCGGUAAAUGAUGCUUGGGAGUGAGUUGCCGGGUGCUAAUGUCCGGUAGCGAGAGGGAAAGAGCCCAGACCAACGGCUAAGGCCCCUAAAGUGUGUUAAGUUGACAGAACGAGGUGCGGUUGCUGAGACAGCUAGGAUGUUAGCUUGGAAGCAGCUAAUCAUUUAAAGAGUGCGUAACAGCUCACUAGUCGAGCGACUGUGCGUGGAUAAUAAUCGGGCAUCAAACACACUGCCGAAGCCAUGGACUUCAAAGAAGUGGUAGGGGAGCAUUCCAGAGGGCGUAGAAGGAUAACCUGUGAAGGAAUCUGGAGCGUCUGGAAAAGCAGAUGUAGGCAUAAGUAACGAUAAUGCGGGUUAAAAACCCGCACACCGCAAGCCCAAGGUUUCCUGAUCAAUGUUAGACAGAUCAGGGUUAGUCAGGACCUAAGGGGAAUCCGAGAGGAGCACCCGAUGGACAAAUGGUUAAUAUUCCAUUACCUGUAUGAUAAAGGGGAGGAGUGACGUAGGAGUGACAUGUACGCCGACUGACGGAAUAGUUGGUUAAAGCACGUAAGCAGAUCCGAAGAUUAAGAGUCAUUGGAUGCAGAAGUGCGACAGUACCGCAAGGCUUCGGCUGCGCGGAUAGUUACAGUAAGCAGACUACCGAGAAAAGCUUCGUACCCGUUACCUAUCAUAGAGCCUGUACCGUAAACCGACACAGGUGGGCGAGGAGAGUAUCCUCAGGUGCUCGAGAGAAUCAUGGCUAAGGAACUCGGCAAAAUGACCCCGUAACUUCGGGAAAAGGGGUCCCUGGCGACAGGGCGCAGAGAAAUGGCCCAGGCGACUGUUUAACAAAAACACAUGGCUUUGCAAAAUCGCAAGAUGAAGCAUAAGGCCUGACACCUGCCCGGUGCUGGAAGGUUAAGAGGGGGCGUCAGCCGCAAGGCGAAGCGCUGAAUCGAAGCCCCAGUAAACGGCGGCCGUAACUAUAACGGUCCUAAGGUAGCGAAAUUCCUUGUCGGGUAAGUUCCGACCUGCACGAAUGGUGUAACGAUCUGGGCGCUGUCUCAGCCAUGAGCUCGGUGAAAUUGUAGUAACGGUGAAGAUGCCGUUUACCCGCAACGGGACGAAAAGACCCCGUGAACCUUUACUAUAGCUUAGCGCUGAUUUUGGAUAAGUGAUGUGUAGGAUAGGUGGGAGACUGCGAAGCAGGUACGCCAGUAUUUGUGGAGUCGCCGUUGAAAUACCACCCUUUGCUUAUCUGGGAUCUAACUUGAACAAGGACACCGCUUGGUGGGUAGUUUGACUGGGGUGGUCGCCUCCAAAAGCGUAACGGAGGCUUCCCAAGGU